AUCUUCGAAAUGAAAAGGAAUAGUUCAGCGCUGAAUCCUUUAGUCGAUGGCUAAAGGACCUGAUGGCCUUUAAGAGAGCCUAUCUGUCGGGUUUAGACUUCGGAAGAUCCCUCGAAUGGGACUCCGAAGCAGGUGCGAGGCCUGUAACGAAGUGAUACCCGUCAGUUUGAGCCUCUAUAGAGUCGGGUUACUUGAGAGUGUAGCCCAAAGCGGAAGGUAAACCCCUUCUAAAACUAAAUAUUACCACGAGACCGAUAGCGAACAAGUACCGCGAGGGAAAGUUGAAAAGAACUUUGAAGAGAGAGUUCAAAAGGGCGUGAAACCGCUUAGAAUAAAACGGACAGAGCCGUCGGGAGUCUCCGGGAAUCAGUCUUACGAUACGCGAACGUGUCGUUGUUCGGAACGGUAAAGUCCGACUGCGAAACGCUAGUAACGUUCGUUUGGCGCAUUUCUCGGAGAUAAGCACCGCGACCGAUACACGCAGGUCGACGAAGCGUUCGGAUUGAGGUCGAGACUCUUCGCGGAGACUCGUAACCAGCCUGUUCGCUGUAAAUUUAAUCGUUGAACCGUAGUAUCGAGCGCCUAAGUAAUUUUGAUAUACGUCGGUUGUAAAGCUCGCUCGAGUAAUGGCUAGUCGGUCAAUAGUUUCGGUCGCUUGCUCGCAGGUACCGAUCUAUUCGAUUCGGCUUAAAAGUUAUCGGCGACAUUUCGGCGUAUAGGCGUCGGCGGUGUCAGAGUCGGUCACCUGUCCGACCCGUCUUGAAACACGGACCAAGGAGUCUAACAUAUGCGCGAGCUAAUGGGUGGAAAACCCAAAAGCGCAAUAAAAGUAAAGGCUGUUUCGGACAGCUAAGGUAUGAUCCUAGAAUUUUCGAAUUCCAGGCGCAAUACCGUCCCGUCCCGACCGCAUGUCGGUAGGGCGGAGAUAGAGUGCAUACGUUGGGACCCGAAAGAUGGUGAACUAUGCCUGAGCAGAGCGAAGCCAGAGGGAACUCUGGUGGAGGUUCGUAGCGGUUCUGACGUGCAAAUCGAUCGUCAGAUUUGGUAUAGCU
Molecule: ribosomal RNA, 1052 nt
Filed under: Allodorylaimus sp. HMM670_2017
Lineage: Eukaryota; Metazoa; Nematoda; Enoplea; Dorylaimida; Qudsianematidae
Description: eukaryotic LSU rRNA
Rfam family: Eukaryotic large subunit ribosomal RNA
Source: RNAcentral